Molecule: ribosomal RNA, 301 nt
Filed under: uncultured Gammaproteobacteria bacterium
Lineage: Bacteria; Pseudomonadati; Pseudomonadota; Gammaproteobacteria
Description: bacterial SSU rRNA
Rfam family: Bacterial small subunit ribosomal RNA
Source: RNAcentral
CGUAAAGCGCGCGUACGCGGUCGGAUAAAUCGGAUGUGAAAGCCCCGGUCUCAUCCUGGGGAACGCAUUCGAUACUGUCUGGCUAGAGUUUGGUAGAGGGUGGGGGAAUUCCCGGUGUAGCGGUGAAAUGCGUAGAUAUCGGGAGGAACAUCAGUGGCGAAGACGGCCACCUGGACCAAAACUGACGCUGAGGUGCGAAAGCGUGGGGAGCAAACACGAUUAGAUACCCUGGGAGUCCACGCCGUAAACGAUGAGAAUUAGCCGUCGGGCUUCUUUUUGAGCUCGGUGGCGCAGCUAACGC